Molecule: unclassified non-coding RNA, 417 nt
Filed under: Venturia canescens
Lineage: Eukaryota; Metazoa; Arthropoda; Insecta; Hymenoptera; Ichneumonidae
Description: rCC1-like G exchanging factor-like protein, transcript variant X1
Source: RNAcentral
UUAAAAAACCAAUCAUUGAGGAAAUACGAUCUCUAAUUAACAACAUCGUCUUUCAAUAUGCGACGAGUCAGGAAGAUUAUCGAAGGGUUUAUGUUUGGGGUUUGGCGGAACACGGAGCAUUGGGAACUUUAGGAAAAACAAGAAUAGUGGACGACGUAGCUUACAUAGGAAAGCCUAGCCGAUUGUAUUUUGGAGAGAAGCACAAAGUGGUUGAUAUAGGUUGUGGCUAUGGAUUUUUUAUGUUCGGAGUCAAUUCUGACGACAGAAAAAUUGUUUAUGGCAAUGGAAUCAACACAGAUUCGCAAAUUGAUUCGAUGACUCGGACGAACAGUACACAGCCGGAAUAAUUCCUGUCCCAAGACCCAUUCAUUUGCCAUUGAAGAGUCUUUCACUAAAAGUACUUGGACUCGCAGCGGG